This 920-nucleotide ribosomal RNA is filed under the name uncultured Tulasnella. RNAcentral describes it as "eukaryotic LSU rRNA". The stretch from base 311 to 920 matches the Rfam family "Eukaryotic large subunit ribosomal RNA", at positions 1 to 612 of the family's 3401-position model. Lineage: Eukaryota; Fungi; Basidiomycota; Agaricomycetes; Cantharellales; Tulasnellaceae. The record is from RNAcentral.
GUGAUGUGAUGCGCAAGUCCACCACUUAUACGUGAAUCAUCGAGUUGUUGAACGCACCGCACCGCGCCCUAAUCCGGCUGCGGUAUGCCCCUUUGAGCGUCAUUGUAUCCCUUCGGGAGUCUUUUCAUCGAGACCCGAGUUCGGAGUCCUCGGUCUUUGGAUCGUGUUCUCUCAGAUGCGUCGCGCCGAUCGCCUGAUGGGUCGCUCUAAUGCCUAAGCGUGGAGUCCCUCGGAGCCCGAAACGCGCUUGACCGGGUGUUGAGCCCGUGUCGCCAAGUCCGCACGUCUUACGUGGCGGUACUACAACGCAUGACCUCAUUGGGGUAGGACAACCCGCUAGACUUAAGCAUAUUAAUCAGCGGAGGAAAAGAAACUAACCAGGAUUCCCUCAGUAACUGCGAGUGAAGCGGGACCGGCUCAAUGUGUGAAUCUGGCUUGGGGUAGAUCCCUGGUCCGAGUUGUGCACUAUGGACGUUUCGUCUGCGUUUGUAAUGGCGGUGGAAGUCCGUUGAAACACGGCACCUCAGAGGGUCACAGUCCUGUACCACCUGCCUGCACUCGCGCCAAUGACAAGCGCUCCUCGAGUCGCGUAGUUUUGUAAUGCUGCGCCAAGUGGGAGGUAGAGACCUUCUAAGGCUAAAUAUGAUGACGUGACCGAUAGCACACAAGUACCGCGAGGGAAAGGUGAAAAGCAACCAUGAAAAAUGGGUUGAAACAGCAGUGAAAGCGCUACCGGGAUAAGGGCUAUCGGGUGCUGGGGCUUCUUGGGUGUGCUUCAGUGCUACCCUUGGAGACGGCCCGCGUGGGUUGAUGUUGGGGUGAUAGACGCGUCGUUGGAAUUCAGCUGUCUUUGGGCAGUGUUGUAGCCUUCGGUUGCCGAUCCUCCUGCGACCUUUGUAAUUGCGGGUCUUGCACCGUUA